GAUGGGAGCAUAAAGACAAGAAAGCAGCUCUUGAUGCUCUUGAGAAGUACCAAGAAGAAGCUCGCAAAUCUAGGACAGGAAUCUGGCAGUACGGAGACAUUCAGUCUGAUGAUGAGGACAGUGUUCCAGUCAGGAAACCUGGUCGCGGGUAAGUGUUGUUUCCAACCUUUAUGAUCGAUCAAUGGUUGGUUCCCAAAGAGGGGGAUCUUCAACCUUUGUUCAAGAUUGUUGCUUUGCAAAGCAUCAAACUUUUUGUAAUGUUUAGAAAUUCUCUUUUUUUUUUUUUUUUUUUUACUUUUUUGGUUUAUUAUAAGGUGACUGAUGGUUUCGUUCCUUAUUCUUGUUUUGACUAAAGAAUCUCAUAAUAAGGUGAUGUAACUUUAAGUCCGACAGGGACUUUUCAUAUGCUCUCUAAUGUUUUAAUUGGAAGUGUGCGCUUCAUACGCUUUCCUCCAAAAUUCAUCUUCUCCAGAAUGAUUGGCUCUGAGCAAGUUGGAUUACUAAAUUUUGGAGCGUCUCAGAUCUAAACCCAUGAAAGAUACACAGAGCUUACUACAUUAGUGUAUAAACAUGAAGUCUCGAAAGAGUUGCACACGUCAGUUAUGGCUCAAGAAUGUACUCUGCUUUUGUGUUCUUGCUAAGGCCAUGGUUUGAGCUUGUACAAUCUUUUGAGGCUUCGUUACUCCGACGACAAUAGUUACAAAUGGCAACUAAGUAAGCAUCAUGGGAAUUAAACCGAGUUCAGUGAAUAGAUGACUUCUCAACUCGAAUAACUCUACAAUGGCAAAUGUAUCCACCCCAAUUUGUGAGAAACUAAACAAAGAAGUAACAGAAACUACAAUUUAGCUAA
Raphanus sativus (radish) is the source of this 850-nucleotide long non-coding RNA. RefSeq lists it as uncharacterized. The transcript is spliced from 2 exons. The record is from RefSeq and is a predicted model, not a curated record. Lineage: Eukaryota; Viridiplantae; Streptophyta; Magnoliopsida; Brassicales; Brassicaceae.